UGUUAGGUGGCUGAGGGUUAGGCGAUAGACUGUAAAUCUGUAGACGAAAUUUAUAUUUCUCUGAC
RNAcentral lists this transfer RNA (65 nucleotides) under Lebbeus groenlandicus. Its description in RNAcentral is "tRNA-Tyr". It matches the Rfam family "tRNA". Rfam says of the family: Transfer RNA (tRNA) molecules are approximately 80 nucleotides in length. Lineage: Eukaryota; Metazoa; Arthropoda; Malacostraca; Decapoda; Hippolytidae. The record is from RNAcentral.